Molecule: non-coding RNA, 83 nt
Organism: Bombyx mori (domestic silkworm)
Lineage: Eukaryota; Metazoa; Arthropoda; Insecta; Lepidoptera; Bombycidae
Source: Rfam
UUUCUCUAAAUGAUGAUUUCAUAGUUCAUCUGAAUGCUAUGAUGUAUUACUGUAUUGUCUUUCGCUCCUAUCUGAUUGAUCAU